Molecule: ribosomal RNA, 329 nt
Filed under: uncultured eukaryote
Lineage: Eukaryota
Description: partial 18S ribosomal RNA
Rfam family: Eukaryotic small subunit ribosomal RNA
Source: RNAcentral
CCCUUAGAUGUUCUGGGCCGCACGCGCGCUACAAUGAUGAAUUCAACGAGCUUAUAACCUUGGUUGAAAAGCCUGGGUAAUCUUUUGAACUUUCGUCGUGAUGGGGCUAGACCCUUGCAAUUUUUGGUCUCCAACGAGGAAUUCCUAGUAAACGCAAGUCAUCAACUUGCAUUGAUUACGUCCCUGCCCUUUGUACACACCGCCCGUCGCACCUACCGAUUGAAUGGUCCGGUGAAAUCUUCGGAUUGAGACUUUGAUUUCUUCACGGAAAACGCUGUUUUAAAAAGUUGAUUAAACCUUACCAUUUAGAGGAAGGUGAAGUCGUAACA